GGGGAGGGCUGGCAGCCUUAGGCCUGGGGGGCAAAACCAGUCAAGUGGCCCAUUGCACCUCCAAAUCAGUUCACCAUCCAUGCCCACCUUUUCCUGGUUUUAUAAAGGAUAUUGAUGUUAUGCUAAUCAGUAGCUCUUUGCCAUACCCGCUCCUUCACGGCUCCAGGCACUGCUUGUUGUGAGUGUGAGUGUAAAUUAGGGGCAGAGGGCACUUGCACUGCGGUAAAGAUGGG
Non-coding RNA from Pelobates cultripes (western spadefoot toad), 233 nucleotides. The record is from the annotation of a GenBank genome assembly. NCBI's taxonomy places the organism in Eukaryota, Metazoa, Chordata, Amphibia, Anura, Pelobatidae.